Molecule: ribosomal RNA, 440 nt
Filed under: uncultured bacterium
Lineage: Bacteria
Description: partial 16S ribosomal RNA
Rfam family: Bacterial small subunit ribosomal RNA
Source: RNAcentral
CCUACGGGAGGCAGCAGUGGGGAAUAUUGCACAAUGGGGGAAACCCUGAUGCAGCGACGCCGCGUGAGUGAAGAAGUAAUUCGUUAUGUAAAGCUCUAUCAGCAGGGAAGAAAAUGACGGUACCUGAGUAAGAAGCCGCGGCUAAUUACGUGCCAGCAGCCGCGGUAAUACGGAGGGGGCAAGCGUUAUCCGGAUUUACUGGGGGGAAAGGGAGCGUAGACGGCAGUGCAAGUCUGGAGUGAAAGGCGGGGGCUCAACCCCCGGACUGCUCUGGAAACUGUACGUCUGGAGUGCAGGAGAGGUAAGUGGAAUUCCUGGUGUAGCGGUGAAAUGCGUAGAUAUUAGGAGGAACACCAGUGGCGAAGGCGGCUUACUGGACUGUAACUGACGUUGAGGCUCGAAAGCGUGGGGAGCAAACAGGAUUAGAUACCCCAGUAGUC